AGAGCGAACGCUGGCGGCAGGCCUAACACAUGCAAGUCGAGCGCCCGUAGCAAUACGGGAGCGGCAGACGGGAUAGUAACACGUGGGAACGCGCCCUUCGGUUCGGAAUAACUCAGGGAAACUUGAGCUAAUACCGGAUACGCCCUUACGGGGAAAGAUUUAUUGCCGAAGGAACGGCCCGCGUCCGAUUAGCUAGUUGGUGAGGUAAUGGCUCACCAAGGCGACGAUCGGUAGCUGGUCUGAGAGGAUGACCAGCAUCACUGGGACUGAGACACGGUCCGGACUCCUACGGGAGGCAGCAGUGGGGAAUAUUGGACAAUGGGGGAAACCCUGAUCCAGCGACGCCGCGUGUGUGAAGAAGGCCUGCGGGUUGUAAAGCACUUUUAGUGGGGACAAAAGCUACGGAUUAAUACUCUGUGGUCUUGAUUUAACCCAAAGAAAAGCACCGGCUAACUCUGUGCCAGCAGCCGC
RNAcentral lists this ribosomal RNA (471 nucleotides) under uncultured bacterium. RNAcentral's name for it is "SSU rRNA". It matches the Rfam family "Bacterial small subunit ribosomal RNA", at positions 26 to 518 of the family's 1533-position model. The record is from RNAcentral.